Schizosaccharomyces pombe (fission yeast) is the source of this 1457-nucleotide non-coding RNA. The record is from the annotation of a GenBank genome assembly. Lineage: Eukaryota; Fungi; Ascomycota; Schizosaccharomycetes; Schizosaccharomycetales; Schizosaccharomycetaceae.
UGAAAACAUAUUAUCGUCAUUCAGUUAAAAUGCUCUAAAUCAUAUACACUAUAGGAAGUAAUCUAAUUAUAUAACAUUAACUUUAUUAAUUCACAAAGUAAUUAUGAAGACCAUAUAAACGAAGCUGAUAAAUCUCUAUAUCCUUGUUUUUUCCAUACAUUAUUUCUUUCCUUCAGUUGUAUGCAUCAUUUAUUUAUACUAAAAAUUAUUAAUAGAUUGACUAUUUAAAACCAGAAACGAAGGAAACAGAAGAGAUAAAUAAAGAAAGAAAACCAACGAUUUCAUAAGAGCCAAUGAAAACAAUAUUGCUGUUAUAAGCAACCGAAAAUAUAUUUAACAUCUGACACAUAUCCAGUAAAAUUAUAAGAAACAUUUUCUUGCAUAUUAUUAAACCCAAAUCCCAAAUGACCAGAACGAAGUCUAGUGAUUCAAAGCUUAUGACUUUGACAAACCUUUGAAUGCAACUUCAUCCAUUUCUUUUUUUACUUUCUUAUAUAAUUCCAUCGUUGCUUGGGCAUCCUGGACGGAAGAAUGCUGUCCAGAUUGAAUGUCACGCCCAAGAAUCACUUCAGCAAGUUUUUUAAGCCCUGGUGUCCUUCCCUUGGCUAAUUUCCGAUACCCAGAAAAUCUGCUGGUAUCACGAAUCAUUCUUCUUGGAUGCGAUAAAAGUAGUACUUUGAGAUCGUUAUGGACAGCAUGUCCAACCAAUACUCGAUUGUCGAGUAUCUUAGCAACUUCUGCUUGUACUUUUUCAAAUGAAGGUGCAUCCCGCAUGUGAAAUGACUUGACACCACUGACCCAUGUUCUCCAAUCCGUAACCUUUUCUUUAGGACGGACAUAAGUAUCAUACACGACAUGACCAUGAUAAUUAACUAUACUGACGCGUGCAAGAACUGACAUGUCAUCUGCCACCCCAACCAUUUCACAAUCCAUUGCAAUAUAUUUCCCCAAUGUUUCCAAAUUGGUUUUUCUGGUAAGCUUGGAAGCAUCCACGCCAUAUGCGUCAAGGACUUGAGAUUCAGGGAUAUCAUUUUCCUUAGCAAAUUUCUUUAAUUCAUUCAUGCGUUUUUUAUCGACGAUAUAAGAAUUCUCAUUCUCAUUGUUUUUACCUUUCACACUUUUAAGGUAUUUCUUUUCAUUAGAAUGCUUUUUUUCAACCCGUCCACUCUUAGCGCUGUCGAGUUUCUAAACAACCAAUACCGUUAGUAUACUUAAACAAGAAUCUUAAAUGACUUAAUGGAAACUAUAGCCUUUCAUACCUUCUUUAACUUUUCCCAAUUGGAAGAAGACAUUGCUUGUGCAUAAGAGCCAAAGUUGGUGCAAGAAGCAAUUUGCAACCUCUUUCAAUAUGAUUCUCAACGCGGUAUCACAAAUAUUUUAUCACAUUUUAGCACAUUUCAUUAUUUUGAAUAAAGCGUUGAUGAUAGUACGUUACGUUAAGUAUCAUUAUAUAAGUC